Molecule: ribosomal RNA, 270 nt
Filed under: uncultured Faecalibacterium sp.
Lineage: Bacteria; Bacillati; Bacillota; Clostridia; Eubacteriales; Oscillospiraceae
Description: partial 16S ribosomal RNA
Rfam family: Bacterial small subunit ribosomal RNA
Source: RNAcentral
AUGAGGAGCUUGCUCUUCAAAUCGAGUGGCGAACGGGUGAGUAACGCGUGAGGAACCUGCCUCAAAGAGGGGGACAACAGUUGGAAACGACUGCUAAUACCGCAUAAGCCCACGGCUCGGCAUCGAGCAGAGGGAAAAGGAGCAAUCCGCUUUGAGAUGGCCUCGCGUCCGAUUAGCUAGUUGGUGAGGUAAUGGCCCACCAAGGCGACGAUCGGUAGCCGGACUGAGAGGAAGGUCCCCACAUUGGAACUGAGACACGGUCCAAACUCC